UUCACAUUGGUGUACUUUCGAUCCUUAAAAGGAACACACGUGACCAGGAAAGAUGCCCAAGGAUGGCAGCUGCCUUGCAGCCAAGCAUGGGUCAGACACACCAAUAUGGCAGCUUGACAUCCAGAGCCCAACCCAGUCCAAGGAGAAAAACAAGAAACACCUGCAAAGACUAAAUUCCCAGGUCCCAGAAGGAUGGACAAAUGUUUGGUGUUGACUUCAACAGCCCAGAUGAGAUUAAGUGACUUUCCCAAUCCUGCCAAGAAGCCUAGAAAAAGACCUUCCACAUUUGAGAACUCAGUACCUGAGAACAGUUAAUGAUUCUUUGCAAACAACCUGAAGAUUCACAACAUGCAUCCUCUGCAGAGCUCUCCUUCUCCUGCUUGCUGCCGCCCCGGCUCCUCUUGACACUCUUAUAGAACUGCCCCCAGCGGUGCCGCCCUGCGUCCUUCUUCAGGCGUUUCUCUUUGGCCCUUCUGUUCUGAAACCAAACCUGCCACACAAGCACAAGGGACACACUCAGGGGGCAUCCACCACAAACCCAAAGCCCCCAGGACCCCUAGGCGGGCGGCUGGAAGCCGACGGAAGCCUGAAUGGAGCACAGGUCUGGGAGUGCGAUGUGCCCCACCCCCUCUCCCCAGGUGGGCCUCAGAAUUCUGUCUUCAGUUCUGGCAAAAGCCCUGGGGUCAGGCCCUGAGCCCCACCACCCGUGAGCUGAUGUCACUCAGGACACCUUCCACCCCUGUCCCGGGCCUGGGAUCCCCGGAGGGCACAGGAGUGCUGGCAUCUCACCUGUACGACCCUCAUGUCCAGGCCUGUCUCUGAGGACAGCUGCUCCCUCACGUGCCGGGCAGGCUUGGGGGAGUUCUUGUAUGCAUUCUUUAAUGUCUCCAGCUGCUUGGCUGUGAUGGUGGUCCGGGGCCGCUUAGCUCCAGCCUCUGAGUCAUCUGCAAGGAAAAGCCACUGCUUACUGGCUUUGGCCUGUCUGCAGCAGCUGCACCUCCUCCCACACUUUCUCCACUCAGCUCCUUUCUCCUUUCUCCACUCAGCUCCCUGCCUUUCUCCACUCAGCUCCCUGCCUCUCCCCUCCACUGCCAGCCCAGCUGCACAGAAGUCUCAUCAAAUUGAAUGAAAUUUGAAGUCUCAUCAAAUGAAAUUUGAAGUCUCAUCAAAUUGAAUGAAUGUACCCAAUUCCACACAUGUCCCCGUCAUGACAAACACUCUGCUCACACAUCCUCAUGAGUUCUUGCCAGAGCUGUGAAGGUGAACAGCCAGGUUGAAGUCGUGUUCAAAGCCGCCCCAGAUGGCCUCCCCUCUGUCUCAUUGGGAGUCUCCCAUUUCCCCACAGCCAUGUCACCUUUGCCUUGGCGUUGCUGGGCUCACAGCCAGGGGUGAGCAUGCACACCCAACAGUGUCUAAACAGGUUUCUAAACUAUGGGUCAGAACCCACUCGUGGGCUGUAAAGUCACUUGGUGGAUCAAAACUAAAAGAGGAAAUCAGAUGAAGAGAAUGGAAUGGAAUGGCAAGAUCAUUUCAUUAAACCUUAGGUUUUAUUGUAUGAAUGUGUGUACUGAGAUGAAAUGUAAAAUGAGUUUUACUGUGGAUUGUAGUCAAAAUGUUUUGAGAAAACUAGUCUAAGGAAUGUUCUGGGCAACACACUGACUGAUCAACACAAAGUCCUCGACAGAUUUUGAGUGAACAAGCUCAAGUUCCUGUUAGUUAAAGUCUGGUCUGUUCCAUUCAAAGUCAGGUACAGAGAGAGGCGCGUGGGUGUGUUCGGAAGCACAGGUGAAUGUAAAGGUUUGUUUCCUCUCCCAGCACUUAGGCUUACUGCCCUUUUCUCCACAGUGCCCCUGGAGGACACAUAGAAUAAAGUCAGCAGCUGGCCUGGGCAGCUCUGCUCUCUGUGCUUGCUCACCUGUGUGCCCCAGAAAGUGUCUCUGUGACAUUCCUGACUUCCUCUCUGUCUUUUCUCCUUUCUUUCCAUUCAAGAAAACCCUCUCUUAGAAACAAUAAUAGCCAACAUGUGUUAGCACCUACCAUGUGCUGGUGUUGACUAAGGACUUUAUAUGCAUUCGGUCCUCACAAUCUACAAGGCUCUCCCUGGAGUCAGCAGACCUGGCUUCAAUGUUCUUGAUGAGUGAGUGACUUGGGCCAGUAACUCACUUCCCCCUUGGAAGUCCAGAGGGCAACACGGCCUUCCCUGGUCUUGGGAGGCACUAGAGGAAUGAAGCAGCUGUGCGGCCAGGACAUGCGUGCACACAGUGAGGGGGGACACACCCGUGCCUUCCCUUCUCCUCGGGCUGUUUUCUUCUCUCACGUGGCCACUGUCAUCCCAGAACUACUGUGGCCCAACUCCCUCCCUGAAGCCCUGAACCCGAAGGGUAGGGAUUCCGAAGCCCCUGCUGCAGAGACUACACUACUUAGAGAGUCAUUCCAAAAGACAAAGAGGAACCUCCAAAAUGCCUUCCUUUUCAUUCUGAGGAGUCUGACCCUUCUGUGCAUAUUUAUAGUCUACACGGGAGUGUCUGAUGCAACUUUGAAUUAUGCAGAUGGGAAAUAGUGCACUUGUAUACAAUCUUUAUAUUAAAAAAUGUGAAAUAAUGCAAUCACCAAAAA
This 2616-nucleotide small RNA is filed under the name Pongo abelii (Sumatran orangutan). Its description in RNAcentral is "processed transcript". Lineage: Eukaryota; Metazoa; Chordata; Mammalia; Primates; Hominidae. The record is from RNAcentral.